GUGGCUGUAGCUCAGUGGUAGAGCACCGCUCUGUGGAAGCGGGUGUCGAGGGUUCAAGUCCCUCCAGCUACCCCA
RNAcentral lists this transfer RNA (75 nucleotides) under Candidatus Dojkabacteria bacterium. RNAcentral's name for it is "tRNA-His". It matches the Rfam family "tRNA". Rfam says of the family: Transfer RNA (tRNA) molecules are approximately 80 nucleotides in length. Their secondary structure includes four short double-helical elements and three loops (D, anti-codon, and T loops). The record is from RNAcentral.